This 497-nucleotide ribosomal RNA is filed under the name uncultured bacterium. Its description in RNAcentral is "partial 16S ribosomal RNA". It matches the Rfam family "Bacterial small subunit ribosomal RNA", at positions 28 to 507 of the family's 1533-position model. The record is from RNAcentral.
GAUGAACGCUGGCGGCGUGCCUAAUACAUGCAAGUCGAGCGAACGGACGAGAAGCUUGCUUUUCUGAUGUUAGCGGCGGACGGGUGAGUAACACGUGGAUAACCUACCUAUAAGACUGGGAUAACUUCGGGAAACCGGAGCUAAUACCGGAUAAUAUUUUGAACCGCAUGGUUCAAAAGUGAAAGACGGUCUUGCUGUCACUUAUAGAUGGAUCCGCGCUGCAUUAGCUAGUUGGUAAGGUAACGGCUUACCAAGGCAACGAUGCAUAGCCGACCUGAGAGGGUGAUCGGCCACACUGGGACUGAGACACGGUCCAGACUCCUACGGGAGGCAGCAGUAGGGAAUCUUCCGCAAUGGGCGAAAGCCUGACGGAGCAACGCCGCGUGAGUGAUGAAGGUCUUCGGAUCGUAAAACUCUGUUGUUAGGGAAGAACGUAUGUGUAGGUAACUGUGCACGUCUUGACGGUACCUAAUCAGAAAGCCACGGCUAACUACGUG